AGAGAUGGACAGUACAUCAGCUUCAGCUGGCCUCAUGAUUAGCUUUUAUGACCAUGAAAAAACACUUCAGGAAAUGCUGUUGGUGAUGCAUGCUGCUCAGGCUAACUUUGAACUUGCCUUGCUGCUGAGGAGGACCGUGAAAUCCUGAUUCUCCUCUCUCUACUCCACAGUGUGUAAGUUUAGGACUGCCAACUUGAUGAAACUCUCCGACUUCUGUCUCAAGAGUGUCUCUGGACACAUCCUCUUCGGUCAAGAUCCCUGACUCAUGCCAUACUGCAUUCCUGCAGUGAUUCUGAGACCUAACCUGCCUAAGAAAAACUUGCCCUUCAACUAUUUCCUCACACUCUCUGGUAUCUAUUACUAUUCCUGGCCCAAAAUCCACAUUAGAAACUCUGCCUUACCUCCUUCUACCUUUGAUUUUCCAUCACAUUGCAUUUUGUGCCCUUGCAAUGGCUUUCAUCCUCAUUAUCCCUAAAAUAUCUAAUUCAUUAAGAUCCUCAAUGCUUGUCAAUAAUCUCAUUUUAAGUUACAUCUUUCACAAUUUAAUUCCUUUUUUAAAUUAUUAUUGACACUUGUCUAUACACUUUGGAAAAGCACACUGCUUUGCUUUCUGUUCACAUAUACUUACUUAUUGAAAGCACACUUUGUCCCAUGAUUUCACCUGCCAGCACAGGCCAAAAGUCUUGGUAGACCAAACACUGGCCUAGGAGGUUAGAGUUCAUUGUGUGCUUCCUCCAGCCAAACUGAGGUUCAAUCUUCUUUUUGUU
Molecule: long non-coding RNA, 767 nt
Organism: Meriones unguiculatus (Mongolian gerbil)
Lineage: Eukaryota; Metazoa; Chordata; Mammalia; Rodentia; Muridae
Exons: 3
Source: RefSeq, a predicted model, not a curated record